This 441-nucleotide ribosomal RNA is filed under the name uncultured bacterium. Its description in RNAcentral is "bacterial SSU rRNA". It matches the Rfam family "Bacterial small subunit ribosomal RNA", at positions 498 to 937 of the family's 1533-position model. The record is from RNAcentral.
UAACUACGUGCCAGCAGCCGCGGUAACACGUAGGGGGCAAGCGUUGUCCGGAUUUAUUGGGCGUAAAGAGCUCGUAGGUGGCUGAGUAAGUCGGAUGUCAAAUCCCCAGGCUCAACCUGGGAUCCCAUCCGAUACUGCUCUGGCUAGAGUCCGGUAGGGGAGCGUGGAAUUCCUGGUGUAGCGGUGAAAUGCGCAGAUAUCAGGAGGAACACCAGCGGCGAAGGCGGCGCUCUGGGCCGGUACUGACACUGAGGAGCGAAAGCGUGGGUAGCAAACAGGAUUAGAUACCCUGGUAGUCCACGCCGUAAACGUUGGGCACUAGGUGUGGGACCUAUUCAACGGGUUCCGUGCCGUAGCUAACGCAUUAAGUGCCCCGCCUGGGGAGUACGGCCGCAAGGCUAAAACUCAAAGGAAUUGACGGGGGCCGCACAAGCAGCGGAG